Labeo rohita (rohu) is the source of this 3190-nucleotide RNA transcript. RefSeq lists it as uncharacterized. The transcript has 4 exons. Lineage: Eukaryota; Metazoa; Chordata; Actinopteri; Cypriniformes; Cyprinidae. The record is from RefSeq and is a predicted model, not a curated record.
AUUUUAGAUGCAUCCAGAAUUUGAGGGAUCUUUUUUGUAUAUUAAUGAUCAAUGGGAAUCGGCCUAAUAUUGCCCUACAUGCGUUGUUGGGUGUUCUCCUUUGUAAUUUUAAAAUCAUUUUGCAGAAUUCUGUGUGUACGGCUUCUGUUGGAUGUCUGUCCCAUCUAGUGUAGCUCUGAUCACUGAGUGGACCCCAUACCUCACUUCCAUACAGCGCUAUGGGCUGAAUUACACUAUUAAAAAUGUUACACCAAAUUGGAAUUGGUAUUUCAAUAUUUUGGAUUUUUUUCUUAAUGGCAUAUUUACAUAUACUAUUGUAUUUAUAAUUAUACUAUCAUUAUACCAUAAUAACUUAAAUAAAAUCAGUUGGUUAUUGGUUAUUUAUUUUGUCUUAUUCUGAAACUUAGGCUACGUCUACAUUAAUCCGGAUGCAUUUGAAAACGGAGUUUUCGUUUUAAAACGCUUUCCAUCCACACUAGCGUUUUCCAAAAGUUUUUUUUCAUCCACACUGAAACGUAGGAAAACUUUAAAUUCGACAUACUGCGCAUGCGUAAAAACUCACUGAGACGAUAGACGGAAGAGACAUGAUAGGUUUUCAUGCAAUUUUCGGCAGGAUCAUUUUAUUUACAGAAAUAUCUCAUCAUUCACUAACGCGUCCAUGUUGCGCGCUCUCAUGUUUGAUCAAAAAGCAGCUGCCCUCACGUUUAGCUGCAGAAGUCAGGAUAGCAACUGUGAGUACAGUUUCUGUCAUAUUUUUAGGACUGUAAUAUGAAGAGUGUACAAAUAUAUCUUAGGCAGCAGUGUAAAAAAGUGAAUAGCACAUAAAAGUCACAAUUACCUGUAUAAACAUGGAUAUCUAUUGGCACAAUAUGCGUCCCAUGACUAAACAUGCGUCAUCGUUUUCAAAAGCCUCAGUUUUCAAAGUCCACACUGCAACGCCUAAACGAGUUUUCAAAUUUAUCCACUUUGGAGAGCGUUUUCAAAAAGCUCCGUUUUCCUUGACCAAAAACGCCGUCUCAGUGUGGACAGAAGGCCAAAACGGAGAGAAAAAGAUGCGUUUUCAAACGAAAACGUAUUAAUGUGGACAUCUCUGUUGUGUUCUGUAAACCUGUUCAACCUGUUUUGGGGCGGUACAGUGGAGGAGGAAGAGAAGGAGGCGGAAACUAAAAGUGUGCUUAUGAUUUUCAAACUUAAUUUCAGCUAACUUUAAACGAUCUAUGCCUUGUUUAUUUUUUUAAUGUCUUAAAACUAAAUUGUAUAUAUAGGUUCAAUGCAUGUCAAGUGCAAAUUGUUUUUAUUGUCUCGCUGCUAAAAGCACUUAGUUCCUGUUUCAACGCGUGGACUUAAAGAUGAAUCUUCAGCAGUUUAAUCCCAACCAUUUAUUGUUGCGCAAAAUACAAGAUCAGGACUGCAGCAAGGUUAUAUAAGAAGCUAAAAGAAGACUGAUGCCAAAUCUGAGCCACAUUGCCACUCCACUUAUGAGUUCAGGCUCACAUGCUAUCAGGCAACAAUGGCUUCACCCAGACUCCGUCAUCGACGCGGAAGCAUGGAGCUGCCAACUAACAUGUUAUCUGAUGUUUUUCAUCUCAAAGAGGAGUUGAAUAGACUUCCUAAAGACAUUUCCCUAGAAUGCAACGAGCAUAGAGACAAAAUUCAUGAUCUCAUCAAUGAGUUUAAAAAUUACAGACUUGUACUUUAUUCACUCAGAGGAGCAAUAAUAACUGGAGGAAUUGGGAUGGUGUUGUCUGUAUUAUCUUUCUUUGUAAUUAAUGAUGAGGUUUCUGAAAUUUUUGCUAGAGCAGGGGCAGCUUUGUCUGUAGUUUCUCUAUUAUUUGUUGCUUUCGGGCGAUACAGGAAAACACAGCAUAAGAAGAACUUUAAGCGAACCAUUGAAGAGGAACUUAAGGGAUUUCAGGAUAAAAUAAACCCUAUUAUUGACAUAAUGGAAAAAAUCUGUCAACGUACUGAGGAAAUACUGAGAGAUACUUUACUAUCAGACAACAAAGCCCAGGCAUUAAGUGAACAUUUUGCCUACUGCUUUGAAAAAAAGCAACUCUUCCAGGAAAAGGAGAGUGAAAUGGUUUCUAAAAUGAUGCAUUUAUCUGGAAAUCUUUCAGAAAUGAUCACCAAGGUUAGUUCUGUGCCUGAUAUCCUAAAAGAGAUUAUUGAAGACAACAAGAGGCUGCAUGGCAAAUCUGCAAAACCCACACCUGAACAAAUACAUAAAAGAGAGUUAAAGGAGAAAGUAGAGAAAUUCAUUAAUGAAAUGCAAAAAGGAAUUUGCACAUUAAAAAACGGAGUGAAGAGCAUCAGCCAAAUAUCAGAAGAAAUAUCAAAUAUUUUGAAAUGAACCUGAUGAAUUGAAAAAGUAUGAACUUGUUAUUGGAUCCAGCUGACAAAAGACAACACAAUUUCAUUGUCCAACAACAAAUAAUGUUAACAUUGUCAAAAUAAUAUAUGUUUAUAUUAUUAUCAUUAUUAUUAUUUUUUUCUUGGUUAAGGAAAUUGAUACUUUGUUCAAUGCAGAAAUCCAGGUAUGAUUGUUUCUGAUCUGCAUUUUUAAUCAAAAGAACAUGUUUUUAUUUUGUGCAUAUUAUGUAGUUAAUAUUAAUCACUUUUCAUGACAAAACGUAAUAAAAUGUACAGACAAAAAUGUAUCUGAAUUUCUUCAAACCUUUAAUGUCUUCAUCAAGGGGAGAAACAAGGGGAAUAUAGGGGAUUUUAGACGAAAUCCUAAUAUUAAAUAGCUCAAACUAAGCAUGUUGCAAUAGUCGGUGUUACCGGAGUUAAGUUUUGUUUUUAAUACUAAUAAAAAUAAUUUAGUUCAGUUAGAGAACAGACAUUAUAAUUAAAAAUCAAAUGCGGCUGCUCAAUGCAGAGUGCCAAAGGACAGUCGCGUAUCACAGAUCAGCAGCAGGUAUGGGAUUUCAUUUAGUGAAUCGAGCUGACUGACAAGAAGAGUGAGCUGAGACAGACUAGACGAUGGCGAAAUAUUUAGUUUCCAAAUGAAAUGCAGGCACCCAUUUCAAAAAUAAUUGGAAUUUUGAAAAGCCUGUUGACUUUUGCUGUUCAUCUAAGUUGAUUUUAAAAGUUUUUUUAAACAUUUGUUUCUAAUUGAUUUGGUUCCCCCAUGUUUGCUGGUUUUCAGUUUUGUAAAUGUAAACUUUGUGUAAGUCAUUUUUAUUUUAAA